CCUACGGGUGGCAGCAGUGAGGAAUAUUGGUCAAUGGUCGGAAGCCUGAACCAGCCAAGUAGCGUGCGGGAUGAAGGCCCUACGGGUCGUCAACCGCUUUUGCACGGGGAUAACACCCUCCACUUGUGGACGUCUGCAGGUACCGUGCGAAUAAGGGCCGGCUAAUUCCGUGCCAGCAGCCGCGGUAAUACGGAAGGCCCGAGCGUUAUCCGGAUUCAUUGGGCUUAAAGGGUGCGUAGGCGGGUUGUUAAGUCAGGUGUGAAAGUUUGCGGCUCAACCGUAAAAUUGAAGUUGAUACUGGCAUGCUUGAGUAUAGAAGAGGUAGGCGGAAUGCGUGGUGUAGCGGUGAAAUGCGUAGAUAUCACGAAGAACUCCGAUUGCGAAGGCAGCCUGCUGGACUGUAACUGACGCUGAUGCUCGAAAGUGUGGGUAUCAAACAGGAUUAGAUACCCCAGUAGUC
RNAcentral lists this ribosomal RNA (460 nucleotides) under uncultured bacterium. Its description in RNAcentral is "partial 16S ribosomal RNA". It matches the Rfam family "Bacterial small subunit ribosomal RNA", at positions 338 to 795 of the family's 1533-position model. The record is from RNAcentral.